GCCCUGUGACACCGAGGCAGAAAUGGGGGCGCAGGACCCCAUGCAUUGCCAGCAGGCCUGACGCACUGGUGGCUCAUUUCGUCCCUUUGCCAAAGUGACAUCACCAGCAGAGACUCAAAGCAGUUGCACCACCUUGUAAAGGCACUUAAUGCCACUGAAUUGUUCCCGUAAAAAUCGUUAAGUUGGCCAAUAUUGUGGUAUAGCUAUUUUACCACAAUAAAAAAUACAGACCUCCGAGUCUGCCUCAUUCCAUCUCUCUGGGUGCCCCUGGCACUAAGCUUCUGUGCUGGGAGCUGGGAUCAAAUGGUCUGAUGUCCCUGCCCUCCAGUUGCUCAGGGAGGGUCCAGUGGGAGACAUGGACACUGACAGUAGGUCCGUGAGGGGCUGCAGGAUGUGGGGGACCCCGCAGACGGGGAGAAAGGGCAUUCCAGGCCAGGCAGGCAGCUCCAGCCAUCCAUCCUCCUCCCCCAGUGGCAGAAAGGAACAAGAAAAUGCAAGGCUCCAGGUUCCCAGAAGGUCCUGGUGGUGGCCAGGGCUGGGCUGAUGCCCAUGCGGCAUCUUGGGUCACGCAACAUGGAGCAAGGAGGGUGGCACACUCCCCUUUCCUAGGUAUUUUCAUACUGACUCACAUAAUUUUCACACAGCAGCCAGCCCACAGUGGGGUUCAUACAUGUCACCCAUCACAGUCUGGGCCCAUUUGUUUCCAAAGCAGCUUCCUUAGCGCUCUCUAGCUUCUGCCUGGCCAUUCCAAUAGCCUCUGGAAACCUCUUUAUCAAUAGGCACAUCCAGCGGCCCUUCCUCGCUCCCCACGGCCGGGCCGAGCCUCCCGCUCCCCUGUGUCGGGUCCAUCCUGGCCUCCAGCGUGUUACGGGCCCUGCGCGCCAUGAGUCUCCUGCCCUGCACUCAGGAGGCCGAGGCCAUGCUGGUGGCUCCCAGACCUGUCUCCAUUCACUGCCUUCACGAGAGGGUCAACAUCCUUGUUCAGAACCAGACCAGCCUGCCCUGUCUCCUCGUGGCCCUUCAUUGGGGCCACCGCUCCUCUCCCUUCUUGGAUCCCAUUCCCUCAGACCCUGCUGUGGGUUGAAUUGCACCCCCAACAAGUCCAAACCCUCCGUGCCUACAAUGGUGACCUCACAUGGACACAGGGUCUCUGCAGAUGCGAUCGAGUCAAGGUAAGGUCACUAGGACGAGCCCUAAGCCCAGCAC
Molecule: long non-coding RNA, 1206 nt
Filed under: Homo sapiens (human)
Lineage: Eukaryota; Metazoa; Chordata; Mammalia; Primates; Hominidae
Description: HSALNT0205788
Source: RNAcentral